This 340-nucleotide unclassified non-coding RNA is filed under the name Moritella viscosa. Its description in RNAcentral is "putative sRNA". Lineage: Bacteria; Pseudomonadati; Pseudomonadota; Gammaproteobacteria; Alteromonadales; Moritellaceae. The record is from RNAcentral.
AGUUAUUCUUAAAUGAUGCUUAAAUUAAGGUUUUUCACAAUGUUUACACUGCAAACUUAACUGUCGAUAAUAUUCAGACUGAGGAGCGAAACAUUAGCUACAAUGGUUCUCAAUUUUUGAGAACGAUAUUUCCGUUGGAUAGCAUCAAGUAAGCCCUUCAUUAUUAUCUGGCUUUUUUAUCAAGUAUCUUUAUUGAUCACAGGUAUAUGUUUUAAUUAUCCAACAGUAGCAAAUGAAAAUUAUUAUCACUUGCAUUUACUACUUAAUGCUUAUGUAGUAGAUUUGCAAAGCUAAUUUUAAGGGGGCUGAGUAAUGAAUAUGAAAUAUGGAGAUAUAUCGA